AUGGUACAAUAUCAACUAUAUGCAGACAUAAACGUUUCCUCUCCAUGCUUCCUCUGCUACAGAAGUUCAUAUACAUAUAAUGAUUCUUGCCUUCUCAUCCCACCUACCUCCAGGCGCAAGUUAACAAGAAACAAGAAGGUGGCUCGUUAUGCUGCGUGGACGGGUAUUGUUCUUAUUUAUGCGCUCGGUUAUCGUGCAUUGGCUUCUGGUCCUGAAAUAGUAGAGUAUGAAGGAUAUCUUGUUACUGCCGAGAGUCUAGCCAUGAUACAAGGAUAUCAGCAGGCUGCUGAGAGAGUGCACAAGCAAGAUGGAUAUCAGCCUGUUGCUACUGCUGAAUAG
Molecule: ribosomal RNA, 339 nt
Filed under: Triticum aestivum (bread wheat)
Lineage: Eukaryota; Viridiplantae; Streptophyta; Magnoliopsida; Poales; Poaceae
Description: partial small subunit ribosomal RNA
Source: RNAcentral